This 206-nucleotide long non-coding RNA is filed under the name Homo sapiens (human). Its description in RNAcentral is "HSALNT0160365". The record is from RNAcentral. Lineage: Eukaryota; Metazoa; Chordata; Mammalia; Primates; Hominidae.
AUUAGUAACGACAUUCUGAAUGCUUGGGAGCUGAGCAAAAUAUGAGGAGAAGCAACCUGAUUUUUGUUUCAUAUUAUCAUCUCCUUUAUUCCAGCAACAAAAGACACUGAAAAUAGUAAAUGCCCACUUUCAACCAUGACAGCCCUUUUAGGAUAGUAACGGCAUUCCGUAUGAGGACAUCUGUCCCCACCCCUGGAUGAAAACUU